This is a long non-coding RNA of Ochlerotatus camptorhynchus, 404 nucleotides long. RefSeq lists it as uncharacterized. The record is from RefSeq and is a predicted model, not a curated record. NCBI's taxonomy places the organism in Eukaryota, Metazoa, Arthropoda, Insecta, Diptera, Culicidae. The transcript is spliced from 2 exons.
GUGGAAUCUGUGUGGUGCUGUAAUAGAUAUUAGAAGCCAAUCGCGGGUACAAUGAAGUUGAUACCGCUCGUUGUGUUGUUGAUCGUUGAAGUCUCCUGUAGGCCAUACAUGUCGUCAAACGAUCAUCACUAUUUAAAAUCUCUAGAGAAAAACGUUGAAGAUCACGACUACGAUUGGGGAGUGCCGGAAACGCCGCCACAGCUAGACCAAAUAGACGUGCGACUGAGUCUGGCCUCAACUAAUGAACCACCAAAGACGAAUGAGCACGCAUCGAACAGCCAAAAAUCCGUGCGAUUUCAUGGUGCUGGAAGGUGAUCUACUAUAAUUGAGUGUACAUUUUAAUUGUUAGUUUGUUUAAGCGACCUAAAUAGGAAAUCGAUAGUAUUAUUGACAACUAAUGAGUA